Molecule: ribosomal RNA, 253 nt
Filed under: uncultured bacterium
Lineage: Bacteria
Description: partial 16S ribosomal RNA
Rfam family: Bacterial small subunit ribosomal RNA
Source: RNAcentral
UACGUAGGGUCCGAGCGUUGUCCGGAAUUACUGGGCGUAAAGAGCUCGUAGGUGGUUUGUCGCGUUGUUCGUGAAAACUCACAGCUUAACUGUGGGCGUGCGGGCGAUACGGGCAGACUUGAGUACUGCAGGGGAGACUGGAAUUCCUGGUGUAGCAGUGAAAUGCGCAGAUAUCGGGAAGAACACCCGUGGCGAAGGCGGCUCUCUGGGACGGUACUGACGCUGAGACGCGAAAGCGUGGGGAGCGAACAGG